This is a long non-coding RNA of Glycine soja, 1172 nucleotides long. RefSeq lists it as uncharacterized. The transcript is spliced from 2 exons. The record is from RefSeq and is a predicted model, not a curated record. NCBI's taxonomy places the organism in Eukaryota, Viridiplantae, Streptophyta, Magnoliopsida, Fabales, Fabaceae.
UUGUAAAUGCACACUCUCCCUCAUCACUUUCUCUCUCACGUUUUUUUUUUUUUUUUUUUUUAUAAAAAAAACCUCCCCUUAUCUGUAAAUUUACCAAAUGCAUUAUACCUCCAACAUAUUGCCUUGGUGUGCCUAGAACCUUACCAUGCAUUUCAGCAUCUACAAGAGUCAUGUGUCAUGUUGAAGAAAAUCUCACGGAACUUCCAUUUGCCAAGGGAAGGCUCUCGCACGGUGAGACGCUUUCAUUGUGCCACAUGAAAUUGAUAAAUGGUAGGAGAAUAAUAUGGAACAGGUUCGUUGGUUUUGAAGGCUCUUUGUGAGAAGUUGAUUUGGAUUGACAUAUUUCAAGACUUGUGCAUCGUGGGACUUGGCUUCGGAGAAAGAUGUUGAAAUAUGAUGAGGUACAAGGAUUGAAAGUGGGAUACUUGUGUGGUUAUUAUACAUGAUUGUGUGAAAACUGGUACGGAUGGGUAGUUUAGAAUGGUUAGUAUUUUGAUUGGAUCCAUAUUUACUUGCUAAAUAGAAAGACAUUUGUUGGGGUUAUGAUGCAAUUACUAAAUUUAUAGAUAAGGAGACUGUGUUUUCUUCAAUAAUGUGAGGGAGAAAGUGAUAAAGGAGGAGUGUGCAUUUAAAAGGAUAAUUUAGGAAAAUAAAAAGAAAAGGGGAGUAUCUUAGUAAAAUGGCUUUUAUCUUCCCCCCCAUAUAAUUCCGCUUUUAUUUUUUGUCUUGGCAUUUUUACAUGGAUAGGUAUACAGUAUGAGAUUCUGAACAUGAACAUAGUAAAAUGUUGCAUAUCAACUCAGUAAUCUCACUUGUAAUAUGAUUUAAUGUUCUCUUAAAUUUUUACAAAUAGACAUUAGAUUUUGAAUGUAGGAUAUGUUUCAAUCAGUAAAGAUGAAAGUACCGUUAUGUUGUUCUCUUUAAUUAUAGAGGAAGAUCAGGGUGCGUAAUUAAACUUGUUACGCACCGUGCGAAACAAAAAAUAUUAUGGAAGUGUCCAUACUAGAUCAAAUUAAAAAAUAUUAUUUUCUCAUUGUCCUCCUCGUAGCUCGCUCCCUCCACCAUUCAACCUCUUCUCCCUCUCUCUUCCAAUUCCAAUGUUCAUCUCUCUUUGUUGCUCUCUCCCCGACUAUACCUCCAUCGUCGCUACCAUUGAUGCUCGAGAAAAAAAA